RNAcentral lists this ribosomal RNA (401 nucleotides) under Verrucomicrobiaceae bacterium. RNAcentral's name for it is "partial 23S ribosomal RNA". It matches the Rfam family "Bacterial large subunit ribosomal RNA", at positions 2514 to 2925 of the family's 2925-position model. The record is from RNAcentral. Lineage: Bacteria; Pseudomonadati; Verrucomicrobiota; Verrucomicrobiia; Verrucomicrobiales; Verrucomicrobiaceae.
AAGUUUGGCACCUCGAUGUCGGCUCGUCGCAUCCUGGGGCUGGAGAAGGUCCCAAGGGUCCGGCUGUUCGCCGGUUAAAGCGGCACGCGAGCUGGGUUCAGAACGUCGCGAGACAGUUCGGUCCUCUAUCCUCUGUGGGCGCAGGAAAGUUGAGGGGUUUAAUUCCUAGUACGAGAGGACCGGAAUUAACGCACCUCUGGUGUUCCAGUUGUUCUGUCAAGAGCAUCGCUGGGCAGCUAUGUGCGGAAGGGAUAAGCGCUGAAAGCAUCUAAGUGCCAAGCCCAUCCCAAGAUAAGCUUUCCCUGAAGGAUCGUGGAAGACUACCACGUUGAUAGGCCACGGGUGCAAGCGCGGUAACGCGUUCAGCUUAGUGGUACUAAUCAUCCGUUUGUCUUGCAUUG